GCCUUAUAAACUAUAUACAACUUUCAGCAACGGAUCUCUUGGCUCUCGCAUCGAUGAAGAACGCAGCGAAAUGCGAUAAGUAAUGUGAAUUGCAGAAUUCAGUGAAUCAUCGAAUCUUUGAACGCACCUUGCGCUCCUUGGUAUUCCGAGGAGCAUGCCUGUUUGAGUGUCAUUAAAUUCUCAA
Molecule: ribosomal RNA, 184 nt
Filed under: Hypholoma acutum
Lineage: Eukaryota; Fungi; Basidiomycota; Agaricomycetes; Agaricales; Strophariaceae
Also listed under: 1 other name
Description: 5.8S ribosomal RNA
Rfam family: 5.8S ribosomal RNA (bases 19-172)
About the family: 5.8S ribosomal RNA (5.8S rRNA) is a component of the large subunit of the eukaryotic ribosome. It is transcribed by RNA polymerase I as part of the 45S precursor that also contains 18S and 28S rRNA.
Source: RNAcentral